Molecule: non-coding RNA, 30 nt
Filed under: Mus musculus (house mouse)
Lineage: Eukaryota; Metazoa; Chordata; Mammalia; Rodentia; Muridae
Source: RNAcentral
UGAGAACCUGAGACAAGUGCCCACUGUUUU